CUCUUUUGAGACUUUGACCGUCCCCUUGACUUGCCUCUUUUUCUUUCUCUUCAUGAUCUCUCCCCCAUGGCCAAGCCCUCCUAGGGAGAACCUUCUUUGGUCAACUUCUCCCUCUUUUCAUUGGACCGUGGCACCAAGACCAAGUCUUCAUACUCCAGGGUCUCCUUGUCGUAGAGCAGCAUCGUCACCAAUGGAUCAUAGGAAAGGGGCAGCGAGCAUAGCAGUAGUAAUGACUUAUCUUCCUCCUCCAUCUUCACCCUAAUGUUCCGCAACUUAUUGCACACC
This 285-nucleotide long non-coding RNA is filed under the name Elaeis guineensis (African oil palm). RNAcentral's name for it is "long non-coding RNA (EGUI_LNC053185)". Lineage: Eukaryota; Viridiplantae; Streptophyta; Magnoliopsida; Arecales; Arecaceae. The record is from RNAcentral.